Molecule: long non-coding RNA, 301 nt
Organism: Oncorhynchus tshawytscha (Chinook salmon)
Lineage: Eukaryota; Metazoa; Chordata; Actinopteri; Salmoniformes; Salmonidae
Source: Ensembl
GAGAGAGCCAUAGAAAAUGGCGCGCUGAGGGACAACUUUAUCUUCACGCACCAGCAAGGCAGUUAUUGCUGUCCCUCAGUCCAGCAGUGAAUUUCAAACAGAGAUUCAACCACAAAGACCAGGGAGGCUUUCCAAUGCAUCGCAAAGAAGGUCACCUACAGUAUUGAUCAAUUUUAAAACAAUUUUAAAACAUACAUUGUAUUUAUAUACAAUACCAGUCAAAAGUUUUGAAACACCUACUCAUUCAAAGGUGUUUCUUUAUGUUUGACUAUUUUCUACAUUGUAGAAUAAUAGUGAAGAC